AUUCCGAUCCGCUGCCCCUGAGAGGUGGGCCUUGGGAGAGGCAGGGCUUGGACGCCCUUCCUCGGGGCAGCGGGGUGCAGGGAGAGUUCUUCUGGCUGUGAGUCCCGGAGUCCCCGACCCUGGCACCCCUUCAGCAAGGUUCUCAGGCACAUCUGCCGGGGGCGCUGAGGGGACCUGAGAUGGACGGGCCGGGAGGGAGGCUGAGGUAAGACCUGAGGCUGAGGUAAGACCUCAGCCUGAGGUAAGACACAGUGCUGGGGCCUCCCUUGAAGCCCGUUUGAAGUGAGGUCCCCACAGCUGUCAGAGGACACGCAGGGUGGGGGCUCCUGGGUGGGAAACAGGUAAACCUCUUGGGCGCCUGGGGCUGGAGGCCUGAGUGGUCCUGAAAAGAACAUUCAGGCCAGGCGCAGUGGCUCACACCUGUAAUCCCAGCACUUUCGGGGGCUGAGGCGGGUGGAUCACAAGGUCAAGAGAUCGAGACCAUCCUGGCCAACAUGGUGAAACCCCGUCUCUACUAAAGACACAAAAGCUAGCUGCAUGUGGUGGCGCACGCCUGUAGUCCCAGCUCCUCUUAGGGAGGCUGAGGCAGGAGAAUCACUUGGACCCAGGAGGCGGAGGUUGCAGUGAGCUGAGAUUGCGCCACUGCACUCCAGCCUGGCGACACAGCGAGACUCUGUCUCAAAAAUAAAUAAAUAAAUAAAUAAAAAGAAAAGAAAAGAACAUUUAGUGAAAGGAGCAAGGAAGAGAAGGCAUUCUGGGCAGACCCCGGCCCCCAGGGCACAGGCGUGCAGUGUUUCCCUUCCAGGGUUUGGUGGACACUUGGAGGGACCAGGUCGGGGUGUGGCCUGGGAGGGGUGGCCAAGGUCCAGGGGUCAGGGUCACUUCGGGGAAGUCCAAGGGGCAGCGCGGAGCCACCGCUGUGGACAUGGGAGGAGCCUACUAGCCAGCAUGGCCCAAAGGAAGGAGGGGCUGAGGGUCAGAGGUCAUGGGAGAGAAGAGGGAGUGGGGCAGACCCUCUCCCAAGGCCAUGGGGUGGGGGAGAAACAGCGCCUUAGGGCCUGUCCUGAUCCUCCUCCAGAGCCUGCUCAGAGUGGGAGCAGCCCCUCCUCCCUUCCCCUCCACCACCCAGGCGCAGGUGCGGCCUCUCCCUGGCCCGGGGACCUGCGUGAGGUCAGCCCUCAAAGCGCUGUCCCUUCUGGCUCACCUGGGCCCAGGGUGAGGCCCGACCCCACGGUGGACCCUGAGUCACUGCAGCUUCUGUGCCCAGCUCAGGAACAGAGCAGCCUUCAAGGCCAGGACUGGGGAGGGGCUCGGCUUUUCCGGCCCUUGGACGCCACUCAACUCUUCCUGCCCGUGUGUUGGCAAAGAACUAGCACGGCCUCUGAAGCACUGAAAAGACAAGGGCUACCUCUUUUCCAGAAGGUCCCAGAGCCCACCAUGAGCAGGCAGUGUUUGGGAAAAGCCCGGGGAGGUGGCAGGGGCUCCGAGGAGCGGGGGAUUCUAAGGGGUUAUAGCUGCGCUGAGCCCCGGGCUCCUCAGAAGCCUCAGAAGGAGAAGGGGGCUCCUUUGGGGGCAUCCUCCCUGCAUCCGGGGUGUUGCAGGGUGACCUCCCGUAGUGCCAGCAGGGGCGGCCCCUCGGUCUGGCCAGAGAAGCCCAGCCACUGUCCCGUAUGGUGGAUGUCAGGCCCAGUGCCGUGUUUCCGAAGGAGGGAAGGGGUGAGAGGCAGCAGCCAGACACCCCGCUGAGCCCGCCCCGACCCUGAGCACGUGGGAGCUGGAGACGGUGUCACACACUCGGCCUGGCUUUGGGACCAUCCCUAGGGCUUCUGUGGGGAGGAGGAAGGAGGAGCAGACGUGGAAGGGCUGCCAGGGCCCCAGCAGAUGGGGUCGGGGGCGGAGGAGAGCCAGGAAAGUGUGGGCGCCUGGGGGAGUCACAGAUGGAGGUCUGGUACCUAGAGCCUGGAGAACGACGGCUCUCGGGACAGAGGGCCUCAGACUCUGGCACACCAGCCGUACCUAUGACAAGCUCCAUGGGGGAAGAACCAGGCACCUGGAUGCAUGGCUGUGAGGCCCCCACCCCACAGGGGCCUCAGAGGCACAGGCUCCAGGCUCCAGCGGGGAGGGCGCUGCAUCCCACCCUGGGAGCAUGGCUAUGAGGCCCCCACCCCACAGGGGACCCAGAGGCACAGGCUCCAGGCUCCAGCGGGAAGGGCCCUGCUCCCCACCCCCAUCCCCCGCCUCAGGCUUCACUGAGAUGGGCCCCGGGGACCCCGGGAGCUUUCUGUGACUGCUCGGCAAUGGGUUCCCCAAGGCCUGGCACAGGCUUUCCUUAGAGCCAGGCUGUGGACCCAAAGCCUUGGGCCAAGUCUCAGGACCAGAUGGGCGGCUCUGGAGAGGACCCCACAGUCCAGGGUGAGGCGCGCCCCGCUGGGGGCAGCGCUGCCUGUGGAGAGGACCCCACAGUCCAGGGUGAGGCGCGCCCCGCUGGGGGCAGCACUGCCCGUGGCCGUCUCCAUCCAUCUCACCCUGACGCAAGGCCGGCUUCCUCUGCGUCCAGUGGUCGGGGCCUUGGAGAGGCCAGCAGGGCCCGUGGGGGUCGCGUUUCUUCCCUGUGGCAUCAGCUCUUUUCCCAGCAGGCCUCUUUGCAGCUGGAUGCAGCAGCCAAGCCCUGGAGUCUUUGGAAAACUGUGGCCUGGCGGGGGCCCAGGCAAUGCCACCUUACAGGGGACACCCACACAGGCGGUCCCGAGGAGGGGUGUGCUGCCGCCCUGAGCUCAGCCAGGCAUCACCGUGGUGUCACCGUCAGCUCGGGUGGCACCUCCCGGGCUGCCCUCUCGGCUGCCACUUCUCAUGAAACUGACAGGGACUGAACACGAAUGAUGUGGCUUAUAGCUGGGUGCCCCCACCCUGACCACAGGUGCCACGCGACGGGAGCCACAUUCUCUUCCUGAUUCUAACUCCACGGGUACAGAGACAGAAGCUGCCAUCUUUAGAAAUAAAACUUUUUUCUAACUACAAAAUAAUACAGUUUAAUAUAGGAAAUGUGGAAAAUGGGGUAUUCGGGGUGGAUAUUGAGAAGAGAGAAGCAACACCAAUUCUAUGUGCGAGACGCUGGCACUUCCCAGCGUAGCCUUGUGUUCCUGACCCUGGGGUGGCCUGAGCGUGGCCUGUGGGGCCCGUGUCCAGGUGCGGAGGGGGCCCUGAGUCGUGCGGGGCAAGUGGUCAGGGCCCCAGGCCCAGGCUGCCUGGAGCGAGAUGACUGGGCCUGGCCCCUGGGGACUUGCUCUGACAAAACCCCCCGGUCCCCACUCCUGAGCCCCUGCAGGAGCAGCCCUGGGAACAUGGGGAGCAGCUCCUUCUGCCUAUGUGCUCCGGACUCAGGAACUCUGGAGAGAAGAAACACAACCCCACAGGCCCCGCCUGCCUCUCCUGCAGUCUUGAGGCCCCAGGGAAAGCCCCCACUGCAGGCAGGGGGUGGGUGCCCGAGCGAGGGUGUGGGGUGAGCAGGGUCCUGGGCAUGUCAGGGCUGCGUGGGACUCCAGCGGGCCGGGUGCCUCUCGCCCUGCAGGACGUGGCUGGCCUGGUCUGCCCCCAGCUGAGCCUCACCUGAGGGAGAGCUGGGGUGGGCCGCCUCGUUUACGACCGUGUAGUCGUCUUUUGCACACAAAGCCAUGUGAGUCCGUACGUGAGUCCUGUGGAAAGACAAGACAUGGAAUAGGAGUGACGUCCGUCCCCAGGCAUGAAGUGGAGAGCAUCACGCUGUGCCUGAGCUCCGGAUAUUUCUCCUGUUCUGGAGACAGUGAGAAGUGAAAGAGAAAUGGCUGCCCCUGCACCACUUACCGCGAAGGAGGCUCAAGGCUGGGGGGCCCCUCUGCCUUCCAGUGACCGCCCGUGUCACAUCCUGACCCGCUCAGCAGGAGAGACGGCCAGAGGCAUGGAUGCACGCUGACUCGUGGACGGCCGCUGUUUGACGAGACCAUCAAGGAGGGAGGAGCACCCGUGGAAAGGCGUGGCAGGGUGGUCGGGGCAGAGGUGUACAUCAGCCUAUCCAAUGCUCACGGCUGGAGGACGCCGCGCCCUGUGAAUGCUCACUGAGGACCAUCCCGGGCACUGGGGCUCUCCAUGUGAGAAUGGACAAUAUGCUGCCUUCCCAGCUGCCCCAUCCUUCCUGCGAGAGCUUGGGGAUGGGUGGCCACAGUGGCACUGGGGAGAACACGAGGGCUCCCCAGCAAGCGUUUUCUCUCAUGGAGGUGGCUCUGGUCACAGCGUCACUGCAGGGCGCAGCCACGGUGGCGGCCAAUGGAAACUGGGCUCUUCUUUUUCUUUUUUUUUUUGAGACAGAGUCUCGCUCUGUCACCCAGGCUGGAGUACAAUGGCAGGAUCUCGGCUCACUGCAACAUCCACCUCCCGGGUUCAAGUGAUUCUCCUGCCUCAGCCUCCUGAGUAGCUGGGAUUACAGGUGCCAGCCACCACGCCCGGCUAAUUUUUGUAUUUUUAGUAGAGACAGGGUUUCACCAUGUUGGUCAGGCUGUCUCGAACUCCUGACCUCGUGAUCUGCCCGCCUUGGCCUUCUCAAAGUGCUGGGAUUACAGACAUGAGCCACCGCGCCCGGCCAAAACUGGGCUUUUCUACGGUGGGGAGAGCAGAGCUAUUCUCUCUGGGGUGGGUGCUUGUCUGGGACUUGUCACCAUCCCUUACUCCAGGGCUGUCUUCAGCACUGUCGCCCACAGUCUUUCCGAACGCCUUAUUCAGAUGUUAUAAUUUCCCACACGAUGUUCCUGACCAAGAAACGCAUUUUACAGCAAAGGGGUGAGGAACGGAUCUGUGGCCAUAGGAUCCCAGAGCCGUGUCCCCGCCACUCAGGAGCAGGCGACCUGAGCAGAAGGGCUUGGCGCUGGUGGGCAGUGGGAGCCCUGCCAUGGGCGGCCCGAGGGGUGGUGGGAUCCCCGCCGUGGGCAACCCCGGGGGCGGUGGGAGCCACGCUGUGGGUGGGCUGGAGGCCCUACUGGGUGUGCUACCGGAAGGGAGGUCCUGACUGUGAGUCCAUGUUCCUGGCAUGUUGAACAAAGAAUUGAGCAAAACUCACAAAACGACAAAUAACAGAGUAAUGAAAGCGCAGAUCCUUUGCAGUGAACAUGCACUCCACAAGGGGGGACGGGACUCCAGCAAGUGCUCCGGAGCCCCCAUUAGGGUUUGUAUUGGGCUAAAAGAAUUUGGUAACACCCCCAGGUGCCCUUUCCAGGUCUCUGAUUGGCUGCAUCCUAUGAAGACUGGCCUGCGGCCAAUCAGAGGCUGAGGUGGAGACUCCUGUCUUGUUUUCCCAGGAAGGAGGCUGCGGCCUGUGUGCCGCCCAAUCCAGCCAGGAACCGGUGGCACCUGCUGCCCUCCGGCUUCUGCCUUAGCCCUCGGUGACCCCAUUCCCUGUUCUCCUGCCUCAGGUGCAGGGCGAUGGUUCUCAGUCAACGCUGGGGCCAGAGCCGGGGCUGGGGCCGCUCGUUCUGCACAGGUCCCGGGAGUGGCGGUGAGCAAUGCUCUCGCUCUCAGCGACCCACGUGCAAAGCGCUCCCUGCGCCCCCGACCCCGCAGCUUUGGGCUCUGCUGACUUCAAGGCUUCAUUCUUCCUCCAGGAGAACACAGCAGGUCCCUCCGACCGCAGUCGGCCUCUCCAGCCUGCCAUGCCUCUGGCCAUGAGGCGACCCGCUGGAGUGAUGGAUUCCCGUCACUACCACCCACAGGGCGAGGGGGUGCAUUGGUCUGCUUGGGCCGCUGUAACAAAAUGCCACAGCCUGGAUGAGUGACUGACAUUGCUUCCCCACCGUUCUGGAGGCUGGAGGCCCGAGAUCGAGGUCCCUGACACUAUUUCAGUGAUGCCAGAGCCCAGGAGGAGUCGACCAAGCCCCAGCGUGGCCAUAAGCACCUUCGCAGGACCACGGAGUCGCUGCAGGUGUUCAGCCCUGUUGAGAGUGGGAGUCGGUGUCGAUGGUCACAGCUCAGUAACUCAUCGUCACCAGCGAGUACCACAGAGCAGACACAACUGCACUUCUCUGUAGAGCCUCCAGUCGAUACUGAGAGCCACUGGGGCGUCUGACACCCAAGGGUGCAGACAUUCACUCCAAGUCCAGAGACCGCGCCCUUUCUAAGGCCCUGUCUCACAGUCGCCCCGUGCUCAUUGUGCCGGAUGUUUCCACAGCCACAGAGACGGUGAGGUGCAGCCUAGUGCAUAUGACUGACAGAAACGUGAAGCCACAGUGGACGCCUGGAUGAGACACAGAUCACCUUCCAAAUCUGAGUGUGGCCUUGGGACCAACCAGGCAGCCAGGGAGAAGGCAGAGACCAGAGGGAACCCAGGUGCCCUCAAUCCCAGCCUCCUCUAUCCCAGCCUCCCAAUCCCAGCCUCCCCAAUCCCAGCCUCCUAAUCCCAGCCUCCUCCAUCCCAGGACCCCCACUCCCAGCCUCCCGAUCCCAGCUUCUCUGAUCCCAGCCUCCCCUAAAACCCAGACUCUAUGAAUCCCAGCCUCUGAGGUGGGAACUGUUAGUAACCCCACUCCAUGGACAAGAAAGCUGGGGCCUGGCGAGGCUAACAGACUAUCCUGAUGGUGUGAGGGAGGGAUCGGCCUCUGAGGGCUGCUUCCACCCAUCUCACCAGUGGCUGCAGGCUCCAGGCGCCACUUUCCUUGAGUCUAUGUUCUUUCCAAGCAUCCUGCAGCUCCAGAAGCUCUGGAGCCGCCAGCACUGAGAGAAGCGAUGGAGCUGCAUGCAGGGAAACUUUGUUGACAGCGGUGUCUGGAUGGACCAGCAGAGGGCACUCUCACCCACGGGGAAAAUCGUGCGCCCGGCCUCGUCCACCGCCAGAAGACGCCGCUACACAAUGGAGUCUCGCUCUGUCGACCAGGCUGGAGUGCAAUGGUGCGAUCUCGGCUCACUGCAAUCUCUGCCUCCCGGUGAGAGGUGAAGCCAGCUGGACUUCCUGGGUCUAGUGGGGACUUGGAGAACUUUUCUGUCUAGCUAAAGAUUUGUAAAUGCACCAAUCAGUGCUGUGUCUAGCUAAAGUUUGUAAACGUACCAAUCAGCACUCUGUAAAAAUGGGCCAAUCAGCACUCUGUAAAAUGGACCAAUCAGCACUCUGUAAAAUGGACCAGUCAGCAGGAUGUGGGCGGGGUCAAAUAAAGGAAUAAAAAGCUGGUAGCCGAGCCGGCAGUGGCAAACCGUUUGGGUCCUUCUCGGUACCCUGGUGGCUUUGUUGUUUUGCUCUUUGCAAUAGAUCUUGUUGCCGCUUGCUCUUUGGGGCCUCACUGCCUUUAUGAGCUAUAACACUCCCCGCAGAGGUCUGCAGCUUCAUUCUUGAAGCCAGCGAGACCACGAACCCACUGGGAGGAACCAACAACUCCAAACGCGCCACCUGUAAGAGCUGUAACACUCCCUGUGAAGGUCUGUGGCUUCACUCCUGAAGUCAGCGAGACCAGGAACCCACCGGAAGGAACUCCGGACACAAAGAACUGCAACACUCACCCGAGGGUCUGUGGCUUCAUUCUUGAAGUCAGUGAGAUUAAGAACCCACCGGAAGGAACCAGUUCCGGACGUGCCGAGUUCAAGCAAUUGUCCUGCCUCAGUCUCCGGAGUAACUGGGAUUACAGGUGCACGCUGCCAUGCCCAGCUAAUUUGUAUUUUAGUAGAGUCGAGGUUUCACCGCGUUGCCCAGGCUGGUCUCGAAUUCCUGAGCUUGGGCAACCCACUCACCUCGGCCUCCCAAAGUGCUAGGAUUACAGGCGUGAGCCACCAGGCCGGGCCCGUAUGGUGGUUUCUACUCCGGACUGACUCUCCCGGGUCUUGGUCACUCUGCAGAAUCCUGGACCGGAAGGGGGCCUCGGCCAGGGGAGGGCUUGCGAGGAGCCCCGGACCUACUGGCCAUUAUAGGGUGACGGGAAGUUCCUUGCAUCCCGGGAUCCCAUGGCACUUGGUCAGGGAAGCCUCCCCAGAGAGGCCCAACUCCCCAGAUCCAGGUGGGGAAUCAGGGUACCAGCCAGGCAGUGUUCCCACCCCAGCCAUGCUGCUGGCUUCCGUCCCUGUGGUGGGGUCACCCAGGUGGCUCAUGCCUCCACGCACAGCCUUGUGGACACCCCCACACCGCCCAUAGUCAAGUCAGAGCUCACGAGCCCACAGGGCAGAUACCCGCCACGAGGGGACGGUGGGCCAGGAGGGUCCUCUGUGGGCAGCGCCGUGUUCCUGAUCUCCCCAGGCUGCUGGGGGAUGGGGUGGGGCAGAGGAGGCCACCUUCCCAUUUCCCACUUUGCUGGGUCUCCCUCUUUGCUGGACAGUGCUGGGGCAGGUUACACACCCAUGACAGUGUGAGGACUGAGGGUGCGCGUCCUGGAGCCUUCAGGGCUUGGGUGGAGGGGGCAGCUUGUCCCCCUGAGGCCUGGGCCAGAGAUCCCAUUCUGAAUGCGGAGAGCCAAGAUUCUACCUGGAUCCUGGCCUUGUGGGUCACUGUGACGGCCCAGAGCUGACUUUAUGUGACAGUUUGUCCUGAGAUUUAAAACUGAAUAUUUAGACUCGUGGGAUCUGGGCAUCCACUUCAACCAAGGAUGGGGACAGGCAGCAGGGUGGAGGGUGGACGAUGCAGGAAGAUGCUGUAGGACCAAGAACAAGGGGGCUGUGAGGCAAAGGAGCAGCACGAGGAGCCGUGUGUGCCCACUGCCACUUGCAGCCUCAUUUCUCAACCCGACUGUGAUGACUGCCGCUUGCUGGAAAGAUGCUCUGAAGACACAAUGAACUGACAAUGCGUCACCCCGACUCCUGCCUGAGCCACUCCAUUCCUUAAAGACGGUACGUGACUCACGUCCUUGCUGUGUCCUGCACGAGAUAAGGUCUGGCAGGGUUGGUAAUUAUGCCUCUGGGAUCUGUAACCAGACAUUCUCUGUAACCAUUCUGUAUAAUCUGGACGUUCUCUGUAAUCCAGAUGUUCUGUGUAAACUGAAGUUCUCUGUAAUUGGACUUUCUCUAUAACCAGUUGUCCUCUGUAACCUUCUCUAUAAUCCAGAUGUUCUUUGCAACCAGAUAUUCUCUCUAACCAGACAUUCUGUAUAAUCCAGACAUUCUCUGUAACCAGAUGUUUUCUAUAAUCCAGAUUUUUUUUUUUUUUUGAGACAGUUGCACUCUUUUUGCCCAGGCUGGAGUGCAAUGGUGAGAUCUUGGCUCCCUGCAACCUCCACCUCCCAGGUUCAAGCGAUUCUCCUGCUUCAACCUCCCUAGUAGCUGAGAUUACAGGCAUGCACCACCAUGCUUAGCUAAUUUUGUAUUUUUAGUAGAGACGGGGUUUCUUCAUGUUGGUCAGACUGCUCUCAAACUCCUGACCUCAGGUGAUCCGCCCACCUCGGCCUCCCAAAGUGCUGGGAUGACAGACGUGAGCCACCGCACCCGGCCCUGGAUGUUCUUUUUAAUCCAGAUAUUCUCUGUAAUCCAGACGUUCUCUACAACCAGACAUUCUCUGUAAUCGGACAUUCAGUACAAUCCAGGCUUUCUCCGUAACCAGACGUUCUCUAUAAUCCAGACGUUCUCUGUAACCCACACGCAGCUCCGUGUGACUCUGCUCUUCCGUGACUUCUGCGUCUAUAAUCCAGACGUUCUCUGUAACCCACGUGCAGCUCCGUGUGACCCUGCUCUUCCGUGACUUCUGCGUCUAUAAUCCAGACGUUCUCUGUAACCCAC
This 9705-nucleotide long non-coding RNA is filed under the name Homo sapiens (human). Its description in RNAcentral is "non-protein coding lnc-SLC12A7-5:14". Lineage: Eukaryota; Metazoa; Chordata; Mammalia; Primates; Hominidae. The record is from RNAcentral.